Molecule: ribosomal RNA, 259 nt
Filed under: Blastocystis sp.
Lineage: Eukaryota; Bigyra; Opalinata; Blastocystidae
Description: partial small subunit ribosomal RNA
Rfam family: Eukaryotic small subunit ribosomal RNA
Source: RNAcentral
GGCUCAUUAUAUCAGUUAUAGUUUAUUUGGUGAAGUAUACUACUUGGAUAACCGUAGUAAUUCUAGGGCUAAUACAUGAGAAAGUCCUCUGGUGAGGUGUGUUUAUUAGAAUGAAAACCAUAUGCUUCGGCAUGAUAGUGAGUAAUAGUAACUUAUCGUAUCGCAUGCUUAAUGUAGCGAUGAGUCUUUCAAGUUUCUGCCCUAUCAGCUUUCGAUGGUAGUAUAUGGGCCUACCAUGGCAGUAACGGGUAACGAAGAA